Molecule: ribosomal RNA, 440 nt
Filed under: uncultured bacterium
Lineage: Bacteria
Description: partial 16S ribosomal RNA
Rfam family: Bacterial small subunit ribosomal RNA
Source: RNAcentral
CCUACGUGCGGCAGCAGUGGGGAAUAUUGCACAAUGGGGGAAACCCUGAUGCAGCGACGCCGCGUGAAGGAAGAAGUAUUUCGGUAUGUAAACUUCUAUCAGCAGGGAAGAAAAUGACGGUACCUGACUAAGAAGCCCCGGCUAACUACGUGCCAGCAGCCGCGGUAAUACGUAGGGGGCAAGCGUUAUCCGGAUUUACUGGGUGUAAAGGGAGCGUAGGCGGCGAUGCAAGUCAGAAGUGAAAGCCCGGGGCUCAACUCCGGGACUGCUUUUGAAACUGUGUUGCUAGAUUGCAGGAGAGGUAAGUGGAAUUCCAAGUGGAGCGGUGAAAUGAGGAGAUAUUAGGAGGAACAGCAGGGGCGAAGGCGGCUUACUGGAGUAUAAAUGACGCUGAGGAUCGAAAGCGUGGGGAGCAAACAGGAUUAGAUACACGAGUAGUC